This 294-nucleotide ribosomal RNA is filed under the name uncultured bacterium. RNAcentral's name for it is "partial 16S ribosomal RNA". It matches the Rfam family "Bacterial small subunit ribosomal RNA", at positions 335 to 646 of the family's 1533-position model. The record is from RNAcentral.
UCCCUACGGGGGGCAGCAGUGGGGAAUAUUGCACAAUGGGGGAAACCCUGAUGCAGCAACGCCGCGUGAGUGAGGAAGUAUUUCGGUAUGUAAAGCUCUAUCAGCAGGGAAUAGAAAAGAAGGUACCUGAAAAAGAAGCCCCGGCUAACUACGUGCCAGCAGCCGCGGUAAUACGUAGGGGGCGAGCGUUAUCCGGAUUCACUGGGCGUAAAGGGAGCGCAGGCGGCACGGCAAGUCCGGUGUGAAAGCCCGGGGCCCAACCCCGGGACUGCACUGGAAACUGCCGGGCUGGAG